AAAAAUCUUCAGUGCUUCCUCCUAGUGUCCUGGCUGGAUGACCAGGUGGCUCCAGAGAAAGCCACACCCGAAGAGAGACAAGCUGCUGCAUAAACAUCGACUUCGGAAAAACCUACCCUCUCAUGCUGGGACACCAGGAGAAGAAAAUUCACCAAAGGGGAAUAAGAGAUAAGCAUACCCUGAGCAAGACUGGAUUCUGCCUUUGGACUACAGACUCCUGGAGAACUCGACCACCUGACAUUUUCCUUCCAUAUUUAUUCUCUGUGAGGUCUUAGGCACAACUGGGGCUUCAAUUACUUUCCCACACUCUGGUGAUUCUCAAUUCUAUAUCCCAGCCCUAACCUCUCAAGUUCCAGACUACAUUUCUAAUUACCCACCGGACCUGUGUAAUCGAAAGCAUCCAGAUUUGCAUGUUCAAAAUUAAAGUAAUUUCUGGCUAAAAUGGUGCUCUCUGAAUUUCCUCUAUUGGUGAAUGGUGCCACCACUCACCUCCAAAGAGAACUCCAUUUUCCUGAACCCUCCCCUCCCUUCAGCAUCCACUUUGGACUAACCUACCGAGUCAUUUAGAGUCAACAUUUUUAAUAUUGCCUGUCUCUGACU
Molecule: long non-coding RNA, 600 nt
Organism: Leopardus geoffroyi (Geoffroy's cat)
Lineage: Eukaryota; Metazoa; Chordata; Mammalia; Carnivora; Felidae
Exons: 3
Source: RefSeq, a predicted model, not a curated record